Molecule: transfer RNA, 72 nt
Filed under: Armatimonadota bacterium
Lineage: Bacteria; Bacillati; Armatimonadota
Description: Armatimonadetes bacterium (sediment metagenome) tRNA-Glu
Rfam family: tRNA
About the family: Transfer RNA (tRNA) molecules are approximately 80 nucleotides in length. Their secondary structure includes four short double-helical elements and three loops (D, anti-codon, and T loops). Further hydrogen bonds mediate the characteristic L-shaped molecular structure. tRNAs have two regions of fundamental functional importance: the anti-codon, which is responsible for specific mRNA codon recognition, and the 3' end, to which the tRNAs corresponding amino acid is attached (by aminoacyl-tRNA synthetases). tRNAs cope with the degeneracy of the genetic code in two manners: having more than one tRNA (with a specific anti-codon) for a particular amino acid; and 'wobble' base-pairing, i.e. permitting non-standard base-pairing at the 3rd anti-codon position.
Source: RNAcentral
GGCGCCAUCGUCUAGCGGUUAAGACGACGGGUUUUCAGCCCGUAAACCGGGGUUCGACUCCCCGUGGCGCUG